This 1119-nucleotide long non-coding RNA is filed under the name Ananas comosus (pineapple). RNAcentral's name for it is "long non-coding RNA (ACOM_LNC026993)". The record is from RNAcentral. Lineage: Eukaryota; Viridiplantae; Streptophyta; Magnoliopsida; Poales; Bromeliaceae.
UAAUUGCCUAUAUACCCCUCAAAACUUUGAAAAUAUCUCAUUUACUCCCUUUUUUUUUUCUUCCAAUAAACCCCUUAUAUGUUCCUCCGUUAUUCCAAAAUACCCCUACAGUUAUCAUCCAUUAAGUUAACUUGGGUUAAACGUGAGUUAAAUAUCUACCACAGUUAAAAAAAAUUAAAAUACCACUUUUGUCCUUAACUUAAGGGCAAAUAAUAAAUGUUGGUGAUGGUAGAAGGGUAUAUUUGAAAAGACCAAAAAGCAAAAUACUUUUUGUGCCCCUAACUAAAGGGCAAAUAAGAAAAGUGGCUGCUGGUAGAAGGGUAUAUUUGAAAGGGCAAAAUAGUAAUUUCAUAGAGAUAAUAGAACAGAUUUUAACUCUAGAGGUAUAUUUGAAAUAGGUUGAAACGUAAAAAGGGUAUUUUAAAUAUUAGCCUUCUAAGAGCGGUAAAUCAGAAGUCGGGAACUUUUCAGAGGUAUAUAAGGUAAAUCAGAAAGUCGGGAACUUUUCAAAAGUAUAUAAGCAAUUGCCCCAUUUAUUUAAUACAAUCAUUUUCAUACAACAAUGCCACAUAUAGAAAUUGCAACAGAGAAUAAGAGAGAUCACCUGACAGCAAUGACAAUAGCGACUAUCUAAACGUGGAUAGUGUGACGGCAACAAAGUCCAAGGGUUAGAGCAAGCGAGAGAGAGAAAUAGUGAGGAAGACGGCGACGACAUCAGCUGGCUCAGAAGCAGAGCGAUAAUGAGGGAGAGAGAGAUAUAUAGAGAGAGUAAGAGAGAGUGAAGUGAGCAUGGAUGUCGAGCUAGGGUUAAAAGUAUGAAAAGCGGUGAACCAUUCAUCGCUUAUAAAAACGGUGAAUAGUUCCUUGCUUUUAAAGGCGGUGAAUAGUUUAUCGUCUAUGAAAGCGGUAAAUCAUUCACUACCUGUUUGAUUUUUUUUAUGCUCCACAAGUUUGGGCGAAAAUCUUUUGAAUGCGGUAAAUGAUUCACCGUAUAUAUGAAUACAAUGAACCAUUCACCACCUUCAUUAUUUUUAUACCACUACCGCUGAUCUAACAUAUUUGAGGCCUACUUUUACAAAUAAAUUUUAUAGAAGACUAUUUCUAAAAUUACAUUAUUUC